CCAGACUCCUACGGGAGGCAGCAGUGAGGAAUAUUGGUCAAUGGGCGGGAGCCUGAACCAGCCAAGUCGCGUGAGGGAAGACGGUCCUAUGGAUUGUAAACCUCUUUAGGCGGGGAGCAAUGCCGGGCACGCGUGCCCGGAGGGAGAGUACCCGCAGAAUAAGCAUCGGCUAACUCCGUGCCAGCAGCCGCGGUAAUACGGAGGAUGCGAGCGUUAUCCGGAUUUACUGGGUGUAAAGGGAGCGCAGGCGGCCUGCCAAGUCUGGUGUGAAAACCCGGGGCCCAACCCCGGGCCUGCAUUGGAAACUGGCGGGCUGGAGUGUCGGAGGGGCAGGCGGAAUUCCUAGUGUAGCGGUGAAAUGCGUAGAUAUUAGGAGGAACACCGGUGGCGAAGGCGGCCUGCUGGACGAUGACUGACGCUGAGGCUCGAAAGCGUGGGGAGCAAACAGGAUUAGAUCCCCUCGUA
This 465-nucleotide ribosomal RNA is filed under the name uncultured bacterium. Its description in RNAcentral is "bacterial SSU rRNA". It matches the Rfam family "Bacterial small subunit ribosomal RNA", at positions 331 to 792 of the family's 1533-position model. The record is from RNAcentral.